RNAcentral lists this transfer RNA (77 nucleotides) under Acidobacteriota bacterium. RNAcentral's name for it is "Acidobacteria bacterium tRNA-Pro". It matches the Rfam family "tRNA". From Rfam's summary of the family: Transfer RNA (tRNA) molecules are approximately 80 nucleotides in length. Their secondary structure includes four short double-helical elements and three loops (D, anti-codon, and T loops). Further hydrogen bonds mediate the characteristic L-shaped molecular structure. tRNAs have two regions of fundamental functional importance: the anti-codon, which is responsible for specific mRNA codon recognition, and the 3' end, to which the tRNAs corresponding amino acid is attached (by aminoacyl-tRNA synthetases). tRNAs cope with the degeneracy of the genetic code in two manners: having more than one tRNA (with a specific anti-codon) for a particular amino acid; and 'wobble' base-pairing, i.e. permitting non-standard base-pairing at the 3rd anti-codon position. RNAcentral also lists the same sequence under 3 other names. The record is from RNAcentral. Lineage: Bacteria; Pseudomonadati; Acidobacteriota.
CGGGGUGUAGCGCAGUCUGGUAGCGCACCUGCUUUGGGAGCAGGGGGUCGGAGGUUCAAAUCCUCUCGCCCCGACCA